AUUGAACGCUGGCGGCAGGCCUAACACAUGCAAGUCGAACGAGUGGCGGACGGGUGAGUAAUGUCUGGGACACUGCCUGAUGGAGGGGGAUAACUACUGGAAACGGUAGCUAAUACCGCAUACCAUCGGAUUUGCCCAGAUGUGAUUUGCUAGUAGGGGGGGUAAAGGCUCACCUAGGCCACGAUCCCUAGCUGGUCUGAGAGGAUGACCAGCCACACUGGAACUGGGACACGUUCCAGAUGCCUCCGGGAGGCAGAAGUGGGAAAGAUUGCACAAUGGGCGCAAGCCGGAUGCAGCCAUGCCGCGGGUAUGAAGAAGGCCUUCGGGUUGUAAAGUACUUUCAGCGGGGAGGCGUUACCCGCAGAAGAAGCACCGGCUAACUCCGUGCCAGCAGCCGCGGUAAUUC
Molecule: ribosomal RNA, 406 nt
Filed under: uncultured bacterium
Lineage: Bacteria
Description: partial 16S ribosomal RNA
Rfam family: Bacterial small subunit ribosomal RNA
Source: RNAcentral